This 523-nucleotide ribosomal RNA is filed under the name uncultured bacterium. RNAcentral describes it as "bacterial SSU rRNA". It matches the Rfam family "Bacterial small subunit ribosomal RNA", at positions 8 to 526 of the family's 1533-position model. The record is from RNAcentral.
AGAGUUUGAUCAUGGCUCAGAAUGAACGUUGGCGGCGUGGAUUAGGCAUGCAAGUCGAGCGAGAACUUUCCUUCGGGAAGGGGACAGCGGCGAACGGGGUAGGAUCACGCAGGUGACGUACCCCCAGGACAGGGAUAGCCACGGGAAACUGUGGGUAAUACCCGAUGAUCUCUUUGCUAGUGAUUAGUGAAGAGCAAACGUGUGAAUCGGCCUGGGGAGCGGCUUGCGCGCUAUUAGCUUGUUGGUGGGGUAACGGCCUACCAAGGCGACGAUGGCUAGGGGGUGUGAGAGCAUGGCCCCCACCACUGGGACUGAGACACUGCCCAGACACCUACGGGUGGCUGCAGUCGAGAAUCUUCGGCAAUGGGCGAAAGCCUGACCGAGCGACGCCGCGUGCGGGAUGAAGGCCUUCGGGUUGUAAACCGCUUUCGGAGGGGAUGAAGUGUAUGGGGGUACUCCCCUUUACUUGACAGAGCCUCAAAAGAAGCACGGGCUAAGUUCGUGCCAGCAGCCGCGGUAAUUC